UUGCUGUGAUGAUACCUUUAACUGUGGUUUCAACUUGCUGAGGGUUGAAUGAGGACAUUAAAUUCCUUGGCUGUGUCUGAGCAU
RNAcentral lists this small nucleolar RNA (84 nucleotides) under Cariama cristata (Red-legged seriema). RNAcentral describes it as "Small nucleolar RNA SNORD53/SNORD92". It matches the Rfam family "Small nucleolar RNA SNORD53/SNORD92". Rfam says of the family: U53 is a member of the C/D class of snoRNA which contain the C (UGAUGA) and D (CUGA) box motifs. Most of the members of the box C/D family function in directing site-specific 2'-O-methylation of substrate RNAs. Lineage: Eukaryota; Metazoa; Chordata; Aves; Cariamiformes; Cariamidae. RNAcentral also lists the same sequence under 1 other name. The record is from Rfam by way of RNAcentral.